AGUGAACGCUGGCGGUAGGCCUAACACAUGCAAGUCGAACGGCAGCACAGUAAGAGCUUGCUCUUACGGGUGGCGAGUGGCGGACGGGUGAGGAAUACAUCGGAAUCUACUUUUUCGUGGGGGAUAACGUAGGGAAACUUACGCUAAUACCGCAUACGACCUACGGGUGAAAGCAGGGGAUCUUCGGACCUUGCGCGAUUGAAUGAGCCGAUGUCGGAUUAGCUAGUUGGCGGGGUAAAGGCCCACCAAGGCGACGAUCCGUAGCUGGUCUGAGAGGAUGAUCACCCACAGUGGAACUGAGACACGGUCCAGACUCCCAGGGGAGGCAGGAGUGGGGAAUUUUGGAAAAGGGGCGCAACCCUGAUCCAGCCAUACCGCGGGGGUGAAGAAGGCCUUCGGGUUGUAAAGCCCUUUUGUUGGGAAAGAAAAGCAGCAGGUUAAUACCCCGCUGUUCUGACGGUACCCAAAAAAUAAGCCCCGGCUAACUUCGU
Molecule: ribosomal RNA, 491 nt
Filed under: uncultured bacterium
Lineage: Bacteria
Description: partial 16S ribosomal RNA
Rfam family: Bacterial small subunit ribosomal RNA
Source: RNAcentral